CAGAGUUCAUGCCCUUCGGGGUAGAUCUCCCACCCUGUGUUAUCGUCACCUUUGUUGCUUUGGCGGGCCGCCCAGGCCUUGGCCCGGCUACCGGCUCCGGCUGGUAAGCGCCCGCCAGAGGACCCUAAACUCUUGAAUAUCAGUGUCGUCUGAGUACUAUAUAAUAGUUA
RNAcentral lists this unclassified non-coding RNA (170 nucleotides) under uncultured fungus. RNAcentral's name for it is "sequence contains ITS1, 5.8S rRNA gene". The record is from RNAcentral. RNAcentral also lists the same sequence under 1 other name. Lineage: Eukaryota; Fungi.